GGGUUGGCGGCGGCGCGCUUGCUGGCCUCGCACGGCGCGCGCGUUGUGUACUAUGCUGAGGCGGCACCUUGCGAAGCGCUGCAGCGCGAGGAGGCGGCGCUGGCGUUGAGCGGCGUGACACGCGCUGCCGACGCGCAUGCGUUGCCCAGUCCUGACCUCGUGCUGCUUGCGCUUUACGAUCCGCUGCUGGAUGACCAGCAAGAUCGUCAUGAAGAGGUGUUAAGAUGGGCGGGUGGUGUGCGCGGCGCCAUCAUAGCCUUGGAGCCGCCGACGCGCGGCUGGUACGUGUCGGGCGGCGGCGGCGAGGCGGAGCUGGCGGUGCGCGCGUCGGUGGCGGCUGCGCGCCGGCCGCACUGGCGCCGUCGCUGGGACGCGUGUACCUGGCGGACGUGGCGCCGCCGCUGCGCCUAUUCGCCGACCUGCGACUGCAGUACCGCCCGCCCUUUGGAGCCGCUUCAGUGCUAGCGCUGCAUCCCGCCGACGAUUGACCUUAAACACUGUGAGUGCGUGGGCGCACCUGCUCACAGUGAAUGCGGGACGUGGGACGGAGUGGGUGUGCUGUGACGCGCUAGGCGCGCCGCAGACGCACCUCACUGACUCAAGACUGUAUAUAACUUCCGUUUAGCCAUGCUUUUUAUUAGCCGGUUACAAAUUGAACAUGAAAUGUAUAUUUUGUGACAUUAAGUUAUCAAGUGCAUUUUACAAUACAAUAUUCCAAGUUGA
Long non-coding RNA from Manduca sexta (tobacco hornworm), 723 nucleotides. RefSeq lists it as uncharacterized. The transcript is spliced from 2 exons. The record is from RefSeq and is a predicted model, not a curated record. Lineage: Eukaryota; Metazoa; Arthropoda; Insecta; Lepidoptera; Sphingidae.